RNAcentral lists this long non-coding RNA (6576 nucleotides) under Brassica rapa (field mustard). RNAcentral's name for it is "long non-coding RNA (BRAP_LNC005047)". Lineage: Eukaryota; Viridiplantae; Streptophyta; Magnoliopsida; Brassicales; Brassicaceae. The record is from RNAcentral.
CCUCAUCGCCCUCAUCUGCAAUUGGUGGUCUCUCUUGAACAACAUGAGAAUCCGGCUGCUUUGCAGGUGAAACAUUGUCUAUCGCCAUAUUCUGUGCUGUUAGUAGCUCUAACCUUUGCGUCUGCACUUCAAGUUUUCUGGAUAACUCUUUGUUCAGCUCCUAUGUUUAAGAAACAUGACAGAUAUAAAGACUUGAGAAAUACACGAGAUUACACAAUAACACAAACAUGAAAACGCUACUUAAUAAAACAUCAAAGAGUAGACCAGAUUAUAUAUUAAGGCUAUGGUGAGUUAAGAUAUAAUAGCUCAUGGAACCAUACAGAAAUCAUGGUUGGACUCGGAAUUUACCUUUACCCGUGCGAUCGAUCAUAUUGAUCGAAACAUACUAUUUACAUAGAAAAGACCCAUAAUUCUCUUCCACCUCUGAAUGAUAUAAGUCUGAUAAGAGGGGAAGAAGAGAGAAAGUAUAUCUCUCUAAACAAGAGAGAGAAGGGCUUCUUUUAGUAGUACCAAAUUACAUUUGAAAAAAAAAAACUAUAUCAUGUAUUUUUGGGGUCAAAUCUUUACAUUCUAAAAUACUUGAAAUUUUAAGAUAAUAUACAAUUAUUAAGAAACUUGUCUUUUAUUUUAAAAGUAAGACUAAAUUAUAAAUUUAAAUUUUUUUUGACCAAUUACAAAAUAUAUUACAAAAUAUCGUUGGUUACACAGUUUUUAAUAAAAUAAAAAAUUAUAUUGAAAUAUAAAAAUAUCAUCUAUUUUUAAACAUCAAAACUUUCUUUAAGCAUCAUUUAUUUUGAAACAACAUUUUAGAGUAAUAGUAUCAAAUUACAUUUGAAAAAAAAAAGACUAACUCAUGACUUUUUGGGGGUCAAAUCUAACUAAUGUUUUUUUUGUCAACAUAAUAUAUUAUUCAGAGAACCAAGUGAUUACGUAGUUUUGCUUGGACCUGGGACGGAUCCGGAUAUCCGGAAAACUUAGGGUACCCAGAUCCGGAUCCAAAUAUCCGUCAGAUCCGUGGAUUUAAUAUCCGGAUUCGUGGUUUCCGGAUAUCCGGUUUUCGGAUAUCCAUCUCGAUAUUCUAUUAUCCGCGGAUAUCUGGAUCCGUAACAUAAUUAAAAAUAAUAUGUUUUUUAAAAAAAUUCUAAUUUUUAAAAUAUAAUACAUCAAUUAAAUAUUUAUAUAAGAUUUAUAAAUAUAUUUAUAUAUGUCUAUAAUAUUGUAAAGAUUAAAAUAUAAUAUUAUAAGAUUAAUUCAUGUAUAAAUAUUAAUAUAUCAAAUAUUAAUAUUAUUAAAAUUUAAAAAUUAAUGUGUUUUAAGAAUACAGAUCCGGAUCCAGAUAUUCGGGCCUAAAAAUUAAGAUAUCCGGAUCCAGAUUCGGUUUAGACGGAUCUAAGAUUUUACUAUCCGGAUUUGGAUCCAGGCACCCCGGAUAUCCUAUUUUCGAAGCGGAUCUAGAGCAGAUCUCGGAUCGAAUUUGGAUCUCAGAUAAUAAGUUACAGGCCUAGUUUUGCUUACAAAGUCUAGCUUGCUUGGCUAAAGAAUCAACAUUUUCUAGGAAAGUGCUAUUAGCAUAGUGGAAACUAUAGUUACACGAUCUUGAUAGAAAGUGAAUGUCUCGCAGCAUAGAGGAAACCUCCGUGUGAUAAGCACUUGUGAUGGUUUUUCAGUAGACAACUGAUAUAACCCAUUAAUAAGCUUUUUGCAGUCAGUGAUGAAAUCCACAUUAUGAUAUUGCAAUGAUUUCAACUGUUUGAUUGAGCCACCGCCUCCGCUUCUGAGGAAGAAUUUGUAAGCGUAAUUGAGGAAGAUCCCUGGAGUUUUUAAAUGCCUUCUUUGUUGUGGAAGGACCAUCCAGUUCCUUCUUCCUCAUUAUCCUUCUUCCAUUAUGCAUCUACUAAACAAUAGUAGUGAGCAGAGUUUGGUAGUAGGUCUGCAAUAUCCAUUAUUUACCUAUCUGAAAACCUGCAUCUCUGAACUUCAUGUUCAUCAUAUUCAAUUGCUUGCAUCCAAUGCUGCUGAUCUCGAAUCGCUCCAUGCACCACCUGAAGUAUAUGCUCUCUUUUUUGUUGGAAGUGUAUGUUGUUUCUCAUUUUUCAAAUUCGCCAUCCAACAUGGAAGUUCAAUAGCUCAAAAUCUUCUUGCUUUGCAGGAAAUAUCAGAGCGUUGAUGUUAUGGAGCAGAGAAGUUUGAAAUUCCGUCUUGAACCCUAUACGAUGUGGGAGCCAAAGACCAAAUCUCCUUUGAUAUUCUGUAGUGAAACAUCAUAUUUCAGCAUCUUCCCCACAGCUUUGACAAGUAUCAUCUAUAUGUACACCUCUUUUAUUUAAGUUAAUUGUAACCGCAAGGCUGUUAUGUGCCACUCUCCACCAAAAUGUCUUGAGCUUGGGAGGCAGAUUGAGUUUCCACAAUGCCGAACAACACUUCUUCACUUCUUCUGAGAUUCCACUCUGUCCUUGUUGCUGUUGAGUUUCUUGCAUUGAGAUUUUCCUUUGGAGAUGAUAUUUUGUUUUGACAUUGUACUCUCCAUUUCGAUUGUAGCUCCAGAUACGCACAUCUGAUAUAUCAUGCAUUACACUUGGUCUAAUGUUGAGGACAUAUUGAGCAUCCGACGGAUUCAAAAAGACUUUCUAUCAACCUCCUGUUCCACUCACGGGUUCCAUUAAUGAAAAGAUCGUUCACCUCAAUAUGAGGAUGGCUUACUGCUCCUGCUCCCUGUGCUGGUACAAAUUGUUUUGAUCGAAUCCAAUUGUCCUUCCAGACCCUAAUAGUUUUUCCAUUUUUCACAGUCCAUUUCAGUCCUUUUGUCAGUAGAUGCUGAGUUUGUAGUAUACUGCGCCAGGCAUAGCUUGAAGUUGAGUAACUUUUAGCUUCAUGCAUGUAAUAUUUAGCUUUAAACACACAAGACAUCAAUGGACGGGGAAAUCUAAUCAAUCUCCAACCUUGCUAGGCUAAGAGAGCAAUAUUAAAUCCUCCAUAUUUCUUAUACCUAUUUCGCCUUCCUCCUUUGAAGAAGUGCUUUUAUUCCACUGACCCAAGGGAUUUUAUGCCUAUCUUUAAAUGAUGACCACCAAAAGUUACUCGUGUAAGAAGUGGUUUGGUUAAGUAGGCCCAUUUGGUAGCAUAAAACAAGACAUGGCAUAUAUAGUAAGGACAAAAAUGACAGCCUUGAGUAGAACUUCUUUUCCAGCCUGAGAAAGAAAUCUAUUGUACCAGUAUCUAUUUUGUUCAUAAUUCUCUGCUUUAUAAACUCAAAGACAUCCUUACAUUUUCUACCUAUCCUCUCAGGCAAACCUAAGUAUCUUCCAAAUCCACCUACUCUAUCCACACCUAUCAUUUCUUUUAGGAUUUGCUGUUCAGUGAGAUGAAUACCUUUUGAGAAAGCUACCGUAGAUUUAGUGUAGUUUACCUCUUGGCCAGACGCUUUUUGGUAGAUGGUUAGGAUCUCCUUUAAGGUUUUACAUUCUUCAAGAUUUGCUCUGAAAAAAACAGAAUCAUCAGCAAAAAAGUAAAUGGGAUAUAGCUGGACCUCCUCGCGAUGCUUUAUAUCCAUGGAGUUUUUGCUGAUGAAUUGCAUUCUUUAUUAGCUGUGAUAGCCCUUUAGUACAAAUGAUAUAUAAGUAUGGAGAGAUUGGAUCUCCCUGUCUAAUUCUUCUCUGAGGAUAAAUAGUUUUAGUGAGUUCUCCAUAAAUUAGAACAGAGUAAGAGACUGUCAACAUACAUUUAUAUAUCCAUAUGCACCAUAGAUCAGUGAAACCUAUUUGCCUCAUGCCCUUAUCUAUAAAAUCCCAUUCAACUUUACCAAAAUCUUUCAAAAUGUCAAGCUUGAGGUUCAUGGACUUUGAUUUAAGAUUCCUAGUAUGCAGAGAAUGCAUAAGUUCAUGAGCUAUAAGCACAUCAAUACUAUUAAAAGGGAAGGAGUUUUAAUAAAUCUACUUAAAAAGAUUGUUUGGACCCUUUCGUUAGACUUAGCUAUUUUUUUGGUAUUACCUUAUAUUUCUCUAACUAUACAUUAUUUAUUCUAACUAUGAUUUUAUCUUUUGUGUUAUCGUAAAAGUUAAUGAAAAUUCCUAAUAUCAUGGAUCACAAUAAUUGCCUAUAUCCAAGCAUACCUAAUGGCCCACAAUAAAUGUAAGUCUAAUAUUGACAUUCUCAAAUAUACAACACCCACCAUUUUACUCAAGUAUGAAAUACAUGGAAUAUAAACAUAUGAAAAGGAACGAAUUAUUAUUAAUUAUCGAUAACCAUUCAAUUACCAGUUUAUAUUCCAAAAUUAGAUUCAUAUUACUAAAUCAGGAUGGAGUCUGAUAAACUAUAUACUAUAUCAUUCAUCUUUUUUAAGUAUUGAUCAAGUUAAAAAAAGUAUUGAUCAAGUUCAUAUUACCAAUUCUUGCAUCAAUUCAAUAUAUAUUAACCAAUAUACACCUCACGUCUUCAGUUUUACAUUUCUUAAUGUUAGUAAAAUUAAUUUUACAUUUCAUAAAAUUUGCUUAAAUAUUUAUAAUAUUCACUGAUUUUAACCAUUGGCCGACGUGAGGAAAUACAGUUUAUAUUAUACCUAGAAAACAGAAAAUGUAAGCCUUAUAUCAUAAUAUUCUUUUGUUAUUACAAGAAUUCAAAAUUAUUUACUACAAAAAAAUAAAAACAAAACACCCGCUUGGGCGUAUUGAUAUAAUUAUAAUCUUAAUUUUAUCCAAAAAUCCGAAACUAUAGCCAAAACCUAAACCCAAAACAUAAAAAAUAUAUGUAAUACCGAAAUAUAUCUUAAAUACACAAAUACAUCUAAUAUACAUAAAACAGUUUGGGUACUAUGUGUAUGCAACGAGUCUUGGGUAGGAUCCAGACUCAAACAGAGACCUAUAGAUCUAAAAGAUACCUAAUUGGUACUUUACCCUGGACCCAAAGCCGAACCAAACCUGUUUGAUUUUUUUUGUCUCGGUAAAAUGUCUAUGCCUAAAAGAAAAUUACAAAAAAAUAUACAUACAAAUUCUCAAAUAAACUAAUUUAUAAAUUAUAUAAUAUUUUUAAAAAUUACCUUCUUCGAUAUAAUAUAACUUUGUAAUAUAAUAAUAUUUAACAGUUCCAAAAUACUAAUUCAUCUCAAUAAUAUUAAAUUUUAACAAUAAAUAUAGUUUUUUCUGUUCAAUUUUCUUCAUUUUCUCUAAUGAUAUAGUAAAUUUUUUAUCGAAAAUUAGAAAUAAAACAUUAAUUCAUAUUGAACAUUGUAACUUAUUAAUGUACAUUAGAAAUAAAACAUUAAUUCAAAAACGAUGGCGACGGCGACGAUUCCACCCUUGAUUCGGAUCAACGAAUUUACCGGUUCAACAUUGUAACUUAUUAAUGUACAUUAGAAAUAAAACAUUAAUUCAUAUUAAACAUUGUCAUUAGCCAAAAAAAAACCGCGCUUUCGAAGUGCGGAUCAAAAUCUAGUUAUCUAUUAUAAGCCUUUCUAGAAUAAAAACUGAUCAAUUUUCCGAGAUUAUUCUAUCUAAUCAAGGCUUAAGUCUUUCUGCAAGAAUUUUGAAAAUUAUUUUAUAGGCCACAUUAGACAAGUUAUAAAAUCUUUAAGAGUAUCAUUUUUUACACAAAUUAAAAGGUAGUUAAAAUUCGUUUGUAAUCUAAUUAAUUACAUCUAAUAAUGUUCAAGAUACUUAUAUUUAUUUAUAAGAUAAAAGUACUUUACAAUUAAUAUUAAAAUUAAAACAGGUAUUUAUGUAAUAAUCUAGUUUAUAUAUUUGUUUAUUCGAGUAUUGAAACUAAAACGAGCACAGGUAAAUAAAAUAUAUGUCCAACCAAAAGGACACCGGAUUAUUAUGGUAAUUAGUAUAUUGCACUAUAAUCAACAGUUACAAAAAUUCAAGUAAAUAAACAACAAAAAAACGCACUCAUAUAAAUUCUCUCUCUGUUCACGCUUCGUGUCUCUCUCCAUUUGGAACUCUUUGCAAAGUGUCUGUAUCACACUCACUAUAUGCUGUCUUCUUGAUAUUCCUCAAGCCUAAUGAAACCCAAUUUUUUGGAUCAAAAAGCUAAACGAAUUCUUCCAAAACAAUAAGAGAAGAAGCCAUAGUGGCUGUGCCAGGAUGUACAGAAUAGCUGAGCAAGGCGUGCAUUAGAGAAGCUUGCUCGUCCUUCUUUUUGAUGGUCCUCCUGGGAACAUCUUCAUGAUCCAUCCUAGAACCCUUUCUACCACCUGAAUGGAGAGAAAUGAUUAACAUCUUGUCUCCUUUUUUUCAGACCCAAGUUUGGAACUCUGAUCAGAGGAGGAUAAUAGAGAAAGAGAAUGUACCUCAUCGCCCUCAUCUGCAAUUGGUGGUCUCUCUUGAACAACAUGAGAAUCCGGCUGCUUUGCAGGUGAAACAUUGUCUAUCGCCAUAUUCUGUGCUGUUAGUAGCUCUAACCUUUGCGUCUGCACUUCAAGUUUUCUGGAUAACUCUUUGUUCAGCUCCUAUGUUUAAGAAACAUGACAGAUAUAAAGACUUGAGAAAUACACGAGAUUACACAAUAACACAAACAUGAAAACGCUACUUAAUAAAACAUCAAAGAGUAGACCAGAUUAUAUAUUAAGGCUAUGGUGAGUUA